GGUUAAGCGACUAAGCGUACACGGUGGAUGCCCUGGCAGUCAGAGGCGAUGAAGGGCGUGCUAAUCUGCGAUAAGCGCCGGUAAGGUGAUAUGAACCGUUAUAACCGGCGAUACCCGAAUGGGGAAACCCAGUGUGACUCGUCACACUAUCAUUAACUGAAUCCAUAGGUUAAUGAGGCGAACCGGGGGAACUGAAACAUCUAAGUACCCCGAGGAAAAGAAAUCAACCGAG
RNAcentral lists this ribosomal RNA (232 nucleotides) under Salmonella enterica. RNAcentral describes it as "partial 23S ribosomal RNA". It matches the Rfam family "Bacterial large subunit ribosomal RNA", at positions 1 to 233 of the family's 2925-position model. Lineage: Bacteria; Pseudomonadati; Pseudomonadota; Gammaproteobacteria; Enterobacterales; Enterobacteriaceae. The record is from RNAcentral.